GAACCUGAGGAGUCUGAAAAUCUUACUUCUGAUGACAGCAGAUUCAAGAGUCCUGCUAUUAAACCGGCUCAGCUCAAAGGUCGACCCCAGAGGGCGAUCCCGAAUCUCAGCCACAGAUGGGGGAGCAGGCACCCUGUGCCCAGAGGCAAUGUCCAAGAGGACAGGACCUCAGCCAGGGAGGGGUGUAAAGUGGACAAGUCCCCCAAGGCUAUAAAAGAGAAGAAGCAUUGUGCAGUUCUCCUUGAAUUGGAAGAUUUAGAGGAAGAACCUGACCUGAGUGCUGUACAAGAACAGAUAUUCAAUAAACCAACCAGGUCAGGAAGGAUCCCUAAGCUCUCUCAGCAUGUAAUUCAAGCAGCGGAAGAGGAAGAUGAGGAAGAGCUCUCUGAUCUUCCUGUAUCUUCCAAAUUUCAUGGUCAGGACAUCAAGGCACCUGGCCGGAGAGCUAAAUUAAAACCAGGUCCCAGAUUGAAACAGGGCAUGCCUAGGAGGGGGAAAUCUAGGCUGGUGACCUUACUGGCCUCUGGAACUGAAGAUGAUGAUGAGGAGGAGGGAGAAGUAUCUGUCCUGAGCCAGGAAGACUUUCCUUCAAAUCCUGAAGAGGAAAACCAGGCGUUUGUGCCAAUGAGUCUACGCCCUCUACCACCUGUUAAUUCAGAGGUGGUAGAAACCAUGGAAGAGCUGGACAUUUCUGUGAAUGUGUCUGAUAUCCUGGGCACAUACCAGAAUGCUUUGUGCCCUGAGUUGUCAUGUGAGCAGGCCACGGUGCCUGCCAGUCCUGUCCCUUGUGAACACCAGUUGGACCUGCUUGUUGUAAGUCUCUGUCACAUCUGACACGUCCUCUGUUUCCUCAUUGGUCAAUUGGUACAUGCUGCGGUGUCCAUCAU
This is a long non-coding RNA of Sinocyclocheilus grahami, 887 nucleotides long. Lineage: Eukaryota; Metazoa; Chordata; Actinopteri; Cypriniformes; Cyprinidae. The record is from Ensembl.